RNAcentral lists this ribosomal RNA (484 nucleotides) under uncultured bacterium. Its description in RNAcentral is "partial 16S ribosomal RNA". It matches the Rfam family "Bacterial small subunit ribosomal RNA", at positions 30 to 507 of the family's 1533-position model. The record is from RNAcentral.
AGUGAACGCUGGCGGCAGGCCUAACACAUGCAAGUCGAGCGGCAGCGGGUCCUUCGGGAUGCCGGCGAGCGGCGGACGGGUGAGGAAUGCAUCGGAAUCUGCCCUGUCGUGGGGGAUAACCUAGGGAAACUUAGGCUAAUACCGCAUACGACCCACGGGUGAAAGCGGGGGAUCGCAAGACCCCGCGCGAUAGGAUGAGCCGAUGUCCGAUUAGCUAGUUGGCGGGGUAAAGGCCCACCAAGGCGACGAUCGGUAGCUGGUCUGAGAGGAUGAUCAGCCACACUGGGACUGAGACACGGCCCAGACUCCUACGGGAGGCAGCAGUGGGGAAUAUUGGACAAUGGGCGCAAGCCUGAUCCAGCCAUGCCGCGUGGGUGAAGAAGGCCUUCGGGUUGUAAAGCCCUUUUGUCCGGGAAGAAAUCGUCUGGGCUAAUACCCCGGGCGGAUGACGGUACCGGAAGAAUAAGCACCGGCUAACUUCGUG